GACGAACGCUGGCGGUGUGCUUAACACAUGCAAGUCGAACGGUAAGGCCCUUUCUGGGGUACAUGCGCGGCGAACGGGCGAGUAACAAGCGCGUAACUUACCCUCCUCUCUGGGAUAACUGUCGGAAACGGUCGCGAACAAAUGCCAUGUGCUUGCACGUCAUCCUGUGGGGUGGUAAGAUUUUUUUGGCUGGGGGUGGACUCGCGGCCUAUCAGCUUGUUGGUGGGGUAGUGGCUCACCAAGGCUUCGACGGGUAGUCGGCCUGAGAGGGCGACCGGCCACAUUGGGACUGGGAUACGGCCCAAGCUCCUACGGGAGGCAGCAGUGGGGAAUAUUGCACAAUGGACGGAAGUCUGAUGCAGCAACGCCGCGGGCGGGAUGACGGCCUUCGGGUUGGAAACCGCGUUCAAUUGUGACGAAGCUUUUUGUGACGGUAGCAGGAGAAGAAGCACCGGCUAACUACGUG
This 466-nucleotide ribosomal RNA is filed under the name uncultured bacterium. RNAcentral's name for it is "partial 16S ribosomal RNA". It matches the Rfam family "Bacterial small subunit ribosomal RNA", at positions 28 to 507 of the family's 1533-position model. The record is from RNAcentral.